CCUACGGGUGGCAGCAGUGAGGAAUAUUGGGCAAUGGGCGGAAGCCUGAACCAGCCAAGUCGCGUGAGGGAUGAAGGUUCUAUGGAUUGUAAACCUCUUUUAUAAGGGAAUAAAGUGUGGGACGUGUCCCGUUUUGUAUGUACCUUAUGAAUAAGGAUCGGCUAACUCCGUGCCAGCAGCCGCGGUAAUACGGAGGAUCCGAGCGUUAUCCGGAUUUAUUGGGUUUAAAGGGUGCGUAGGCGGCCUUUUAAGUCAGCGGUGAAAGUCUGUGGCUCAACCAUAGAAUUGCCGUUGAAACUGGGAGGCUGGAGUGUGUUUGAGGCAGGCGGAAUGCGUGGUGUAGCGGUGAAAUGCUUAGAUAUCACGCAGAACCCCGAUUGCGAAGGCAGCCUGCCAAGCCAUGACUGACGCUGAUGCACGAAAGCGUGGGGAUCAAACAGGAUUAGAUACCCCAGUAGUC
RNAcentral lists this ribosomal RNA (460 nucleotides) under uncultured bacterium. RNAcentral describes it as "partial 16S ribosomal RNA". It matches the Rfam family "Bacterial small subunit ribosomal RNA", at positions 338 to 795 of the family's 1533-position model. The record is from RNAcentral.